This 107-nucleotide small nucleolar RNA is filed under the name Salix viminalis (osier). The record is from RNAcentral. Lineage: Eukaryota; Viridiplantae; Streptophyta; Magnoliopsida; Malpighiales; Salicaceae.
AUUUGAUGAUGAGGGUAUUGAAUGCACAAUAGCUCAAUUUUUUCCCAAUACUCAACAAGUGUUUCUCCAUGAGAUUGUCGAAUCCCACAUAUUUCUUUUCUUAUGUU